UGCCCAAUAGCUCAAUUGGUAGAGUAGGUGACUGUUAAUCACUUGGUUCCUGGUUCGAGUCCAGGUUGGGCAGCCA
Molecule: transfer RNA, 76 nt
Filed under: Gammaproteobacteria bacterium
Lineage: Bacteria; Pseudomonadati; Pseudomonadota; Gammaproteobacteria
Description: tRNA-Asn
Rfam family: tRNA
About the family: Transfer RNA (tRNA) molecules are approximately 80 nucleotides in length. Their secondary structure includes four short double-helical elements and three loops (D, anti-codon, and T loops).
Source: RNAcentral